AGAGUUUGAUCCUGGCUCAGGAUGAACGCUAGCGGCAGGCCUAAUACAUGCAAGUCGAACGAUAUUAAGGGGCUUGCUCCUUAAGAAAGUGGCGCACGGGUGCGUAACGCGUAUGCAACCUACCUUAAUCAGGGGGAUAGCCCGAAGAAAUUCGGAUUAACACCGCAUAAAAACACAGGAUAGCAUUAUCCAAUGUUCAAAUAUUUAUAGGAUUAAGAUGGGCAUGCGUGUCAUUAGCUAGUUGGCGGGGUAACGGCCCACCAAGGCGACGAUGACUAGGGGAUCUGAGAGGAUGACCCCCCACACUGGUACUGAGACACGGACCAGACUCCUACGGGAGGCAGCAGUAAGGAAUAUUGGUCAAUGGAGGCAACUCUGAACCAGCCAUGCCGCGUGCAGGAAGACUGCCCUAUGGGUUGUAAACUGCUUUUAUCCGGGAAUAAACCUUUCUACGUGUAGAGAGCUGAAUGUACCGGAAGAAUAAGGAUCGGCUAACUCCGUG
RNAcentral lists this ribosomal RNA (502 nucleotides) under uncultured Pedobacter sp. RNAcentral describes it as "bacterial SSU rRNA". It matches the Rfam family "Bacterial small subunit ribosomal RNA", at positions 8 to 507 of the family's 1533-position model. The record is from RNAcentral. Lineage: Bacteria; Pseudomonadati; Bacteroidota; Sphingobacteriia; Sphingobacteriales; Sphingobacteriaceae.